GGGGGCGAUUCUGGAUUCGACAGGGAUAGUAGAGUAUAGACUGCAAGCCGAGGCGCUCUGACCUCGUUAAUCAAGAGCAAACCUAUAAGUGCCAACACGAGCACACCCAGCCUCGCUCUCGCUGCCUAAUAGCGAGACAGGCUAACCGAUUACCUGCGGGUAAUCCGUCUGCCCCAACCGUACCUGUUCGGGUGGCAAGCAGGCGUGACAAAGAACAGGGUGCGCUGCUGCGAAGCCGAUAAACGGCAGCAAAGAUAACAUCGGCUAGCGCGUGGUCCGCCUUCGUCGGCUCAGGCAUCCACCCGCG
Molecule: transfer-messenger RNA, 307 nt
Filed under: Chloroflexota bacterium
Lineage: Bacteria; Bacillati; Chloroflexota
Description: Chloroflexi bacterium (sediment metagenome) partial transfer-messenger RNA
Rfam family: transfer-messenger RNA
About the family: Bacterial tmRNA, also known as 10Sa RNA or SsrA, is named for its dual tRNA and mRNA-like properties. Its role is to liberate the mRNA from a stalled ribosome.
Source: RNAcentral